AGUCAAUCAACCUGGUAAUCAGCAGACAACUUACUAAUUAUUUACACAUCUUGAUACAAUAGAAUGCAAGCACCUGAUUCGUAAAAUAAGGAUGUAGAACCUCUAGAAGGGAGAGCAGGAUACUCCAAUUGGCUGAAUGUGGGAGGAAUAUAACAUUUCGAAAUGCACCUGAGUUCUUGGGGCAUCGUUCAUUUGAUUUGUACUCACUUGAGGGUUCCGGCGUAUAUAUAGACAUAUGUAUGGACACACCAACGAAGUAUUGUGUUCUCACUUGAAUUUUGGUUGCUCCAAACACUUCUAAAGAAUCAACUACCCUGAAUCAUAUAUGAAAUCAAUAAGUACACGUGACACAAAGUAUCUGACAUAAUAGUUUUUUAGUUACAGAAGUAAGAAAUUCAGCCUGCAUCUUAAAUACAAAAAUGAUAUCUGAAUUAUCGUCCUAAGUGUCACUCUCAGCUAUCAAUACAAACAGAUUGAAAAAAGAUACAGAGAUAAUAUGGCACAGUAGACGCCUUUGGUACAAGUUACUAAUCUAUUUCUUCAUUUCUUUUGCGGUGGUGACGCUAGUUCUAGGUGUGACCUAUACAACUGAUGUGUCAAUAUGGCACCAACAAAACAUGCUGAGACUCAUGCACAGUUCAAAUUUAAACAUUGCUUCUAUCUAACCCAGAUAUCAAUGACCACACCUAUUUUUGUAGGAAGGCUACUUCUUUAGCAUGUGAUAGACCUUUUGAUAAAAGUUCCCUAAUAACUGCUUCCCAAAUACGCUGGCCUCUGAAGAAGAAAGUGGUGCCUUCCUGCAUUGAUCACAGAGGAUCAUCACUCAGGAUAUCAGAUAUCUGC
RNAcentral lists this long non-coding RNA (843 nucleotides) under Triticum aestivum (bread wheat). Its description in RNAcentral is "long non-coding RNA (TAES_LNC004235)". Lineage: Eukaryota; Viridiplantae; Streptophyta; Magnoliopsida; Poales; Poaceae. The record is from RNAcentral.